This 1187-nucleotide ribosomal RNA is filed under the name Millerozyma farinosa. RNAcentral's name for it is "LSU rRNA". The stretch from base 267 to 1187 matches the Rfam family "Eukaryotic large subunit ribosomal RNA", at positions 1 to 939 of the family's 3401-position model. The record is from RNAcentral. Lineage: Eukaryota; Fungi; Ascomycota; Pichiomycetes; Serinales; Debaryomycetaceae.
AUUUUCGUGAAUCAUCGAAUCUUUGAACGCACAUUGCGCCCUUGUAUCAAGGCAUGCUGUUUGAGCGUCAUUUCUCUCUCAAACGCAAGGUUGUGUUGAGCGAUAUAGAUAUUCAGUAUCUAUUUGCUGAAAUGGAUUGGCAUGAGUAUUUACAGUAGAUAAAUGCCGUUUGACUCUUCAAUGUAUUAGGUCUAACCAACUCGUUGAAACAGUUAGCGGUAGUAUCUGUGUAAAAGAGGCUCGGCCUUACAACAAUCUACAAAGUUUGACCUCAAAUCAGGUAGGAAUACCCGCUGAACUUAAGCAUAUCAAUAAGCGGAGGAAAAGAAACCAACAGGGAUUGCUUUAGUAACGGCGAGUGAAGCGGCAAAAGCUCAAAUUUGAAAUCUGGCGUCUUCGGCGUCCGAGUUGUAAUUUGAAGAAGGCUACUUUGGAGCUGGAGUUUGUCUAAGUUCCUUGGAACAGGACGUCACAGAGGGUGAGAAUCCCGUGAGAUAAGCUUCCCAGUUCUAUGUAAAGUGCUUUCGAAGAGUCGAGUUGUUUGGGAAUGCAGCUCUAAGUGGGUGGUAAAUUCCAUCUAAAGCUAAAUAUUGGCGAGAGACCGAUAGCGAACAAGUACAGUGAUGGAAAGAUGAAAAGAACUUUGAAAAGAGAGUGAAAAAGUACGUGAAAUUGUUGAAAGGGAAGGGCUUGAGAUCAGACAUGGUAUUUUGUAAACCUUCUCUCUCGUGGAGGGGGCCCCUUGCAGUUUACUGGGCCAGCAUCAGUUUGGGCGGUAGGAUAAUGACUAAGGAAUGUGACUUGCCUUCGGGGAAGUGUUAUAGCCUUGGUUGAUACUGCCAGCCUAGACUGAGGACCGCGUCUUUGACAAGGAUGUUGGCAUAAUGAUCUUAAGCCACCCGUCUUGAAACACGGACCAAGGAGUCUAACGUCUAUGCGAGUGUUUGGGUGUAAAACCCGUACGCGUAAUGAAAGUGAACGUAGGUGAGAGCUCCUAGAGAGUGCAUCAUCGACCGAUCCUGAUGUUCUCGGAUGGAUUUGAGUAAGAGCAUAGCCGUUGGGACCCGAAAGAUGGUGAACUAUACCUGAAUAGGGUGAAGCCAGAGGAAACUCUGGUGGAGGCUCGUAGCGGUUCUGACGUGCAAAUCGAUCGUCGAAUUUGGGUAUAGGGCGAAAGACUAAUCGAA